Molecule: ribosomal RNA, 453 nt
Filed under: uncultured bacterium
Lineage: Bacteria
Description: bacterial SSU rRNA
Rfam family: Bacterial small subunit ribosomal RNA
Source: RNAcentral
AGUAGUUUGAUCAUGGCUCAGAACGACGCUGGCGGCAGGCCUAACACAUGCAAGUCGAGCGCCCCAGCAAUGGGGAGCGGCAGACGGGUGAGUAACGCGUGGGUAUCUACCUAGUGGUGCGGAAUAGCCCAGGGAAACUUGGAGUAAUACCGCAUAAGCCCGAAAGGGGAAAGAUUUAUCGCCAUUAGAUGAGCCCGCGUUGGAUUAGCUAGUUGGUGGGGUAACGGCCCACCAAGGCGACGAUCCAUAGCUGGUCUGAGAGGAUGAUCAGCCACACUGGGACUGAGACACGGCCCAGACUCCUACGGGAGGCAGCAGUGGGGAAUAUUGGACAAUGGGCGCAAGCCUGAUCCAGCCAUGCCGCGUGAGUGACGAAGGUCUUCGGAUUGUAAAGCUCUUUUGGCGGGGGCGAUAAUGACGGUACCCGCAGAAUAAGCCCCGGCUAACUUCGUG